UAGCAAAUGGUCUACCUCUAAAGUCUUGGUU
RNAcentral lists this non-coding RNA (31 nucleotides) under Mus musculus (house mouse). The record is from RNAcentral. Lineage: Eukaryota; Metazoa; Chordata; Mammalia; Rodentia; Muridae.